AGCACGAUGCAUAGUGUUACAGGGAAGUUCUUGGGCACAACUCUUGAAACUUCUAGUCACUUUAAAGCUGCAUACACAGAAGAUAUCAACUGCUCUUUGCAGCAUAUUUUGGUGCUGGUGGCAAAGUCCCAAACACAUUGUCCCACAGUGAAGAAGUAAUCCCAAAUCCCUUAGUCUGAACUCUGAAGUGAUGAUUCAAAUGAAAACGCUUCAGAUUCCGAACAGGAUCUUUCGAUGGUUGUCCGUGAUGCAGGUAGUAAUGAGUACAGUCAUAGAUCACAUAGCCCAACAAUCCACCUCCAAAUAUCGCAGGGGCAGUGGAAGGAGUCGAAAUCAGCCAAAUUAGAUUAUAAAACGGCACAGAGAGAAUAGCAGUUGCAGCCGGGGGGAAUACAAGGCGCAGCCCAUCCAUUGGGUGUUUAUGAUGACAUCCAUGUAGAAGAUAGUGUAAUGUGUUAGUCCAGUAGCUUUUUGUUUCAAUGUG
Molecule: unclassified non-coding RNA, 484 nt
Filed under: Hevea brasiliensis (rubber tree)
Lineage: Eukaryota; Viridiplantae; Streptophyta; Magnoliopsida; Malpighiales; Euphorbiaceae
Source: RNAcentral